UCUUGGUAGGUCCCCCCCCGGUUUUCUAACCCUAUUUUCCCGUCGUUGGCGGUUUAGCGCGAUGUUCGGUGUUUUACUCGUUGGCUUUCACCGAACUCAAACGUUUCAAAAAACGUCAGCGUUAAAGGGGGGGGUCUUCCACCUGCCGGCCGGAGCGCCUUUCCUCUCCUAAAACCUCUCCCUUCACAUCGGAGGCCACCUGCCUGCCAAAUGAGGCCGCGGUCAGCCUGGCUCGAGAAGCUGCUGCCCUGAAGGGUUCGCCCCUGUCAGCCUCCGUGGCGGUGGGUCUGGCCUCGGGAGAGGCUUUCGGCUGGGGUGUGUGUAUGUGGCGGGCGCCAGAGCAAAAAC
This 348-nucleotide telomerase RNA is filed under the name Pogona vitticeps (central bearded dragon). RNAcentral describes it as "Vertebrate telomerase RNA (ENSPVIG00000014016.1)". It matches the Rfam family "Vertebrate telomerase RNA". Rfam says of the family: Telomerase is a ribonucleoprotein reverse transcriptase that synthesises telomeric DNA. Telomerase RNAs differ greatly in sequence and structure between vertebrates, ciliates and yeasts, but they share a 5' pseudoknot structure close to the template sequence. The record is from RNAcentral. Lineage: Eukaryota; Metazoa; Chordata; Lepidosauria; Squamata; Agamidae.